AUGAGAGGGGAGAUCCAGGCGCCGGAGAGGAGGAAGAAGGUGGUCAAGGCCACACAUCAGCUGAAAGUCCUCCCCCCCCCCCCCGCCAGACAGGCACAUGUUUGGUUGCUGUUGAUCCUGCAUUACGGUGCACACAAUCUGUUUGAGGUUAAAAUGAUGGUUGUUCUUGGGGAGCUUGGAGGAAGUGAUGAGUAUUUGCUCCUCGAAUCUUUGAAACAAGGAAAGGUUCAGAAACCUGUUGUUGCUUGGGUUAGUAGGACGUGUGCAUGUCUGUUGAAAUCCGAGUCCAGUUUGGCCAUGCUUGUGCGAUGGUGGUGA
RNAcentral lists this ribosomal RNA (318 nucleotides) under Triticum aestivum (bread wheat). RNAcentral's name for it is "partial small subunit ribosomal RNA". Lineage: Eukaryota; Viridiplantae; Streptophyta; Magnoliopsida; Poales; Poaceae. The record is from RNAcentral.